Raphanus sativus (radish) is the source of this 2930-nucleotide long non-coding RNA. RefSeq lists it as uncharacterized. NCBI's taxonomy places the organism in Eukaryota, Viridiplantae, Streptophyta, Magnoliopsida, Brassicales, Brassicaceae. The record is from RefSeq and is a predicted model, not a curated record. The transcript is spliced from 5 exons.
GCAACAGAGUUACAUCGCAAGUCCUUGGCGAUAAAACCUAGGAUCAUUUGAUUAGAAUAAUAUUAUUAGAGCUAAGUAAUCUAAGGAUCAAUCCUUAAAUAAGGAUUUAACGGACUCAAUCCUUAGCGACGUGGCAGAGUGUGAUUCGUUUUGCGUUUGGUAUAGGAAAAAAAAAAAUUCGACCGAAGAUGACUAAGAAGCAUCGCCGCGUCGGAUUCUCUCCCGCCGGUGAGCAAGUUUCUUCUCCUCUUCCUGUUCCUCUUUGUUUUAUUUCACUCGCGAUUCCCUCUCUUCUGAUUUUGGAUUGCAGCGAAAAUUAAGGUUACGAUUCCCCUCUUUGUGAAAUUAGUUCGUCUGUGUAAUUUUUAUUUGGCUUUUGGUGUAAUUCAUUUGUAGAAGAACGCCAUGAGAUGAUUUGUUUGGAGUAUGUUUGAUUGCAUGUCAUUACUCUGUGUCAGUGAUAAUUUAUUAGUUCCACUCAGAUCGAAGUGAAGCCGGAAAAAAAACAUGCCACUCUCUCUACAAUCUCCGCCUUCUGCAGCAACUCUCUCUGCUUUGAUCCAAAAGGGACGAUGGAAGAUUGUUAUGUGUGAAAGUGGGAGAGCAAUGAGCUAGAUGUUGUAUCAGUUUUUAGCGAGAUUGUUCCUGAUACAGUCGUUUUCGAUGACUUUGAGAGGUUCCCGCCAACUACAGCUACUGUUAGCUCUGCUCUCCUCCUUGGCAUUCGCGGUCUCCCUGACACUAUCUUCCGGAACAUAUUUGUUGAGACAAUUGUUGAUAGCAAUGAUGAGUUUCUGCAAACCUUUUCCACAUAAAGAGAUUUUAUCAGGUGCACUACUACUGGAUUCUCUCAUACUUCCUAAGAACUCUAUAUUAAUAACACCAUUGAACAUAAAUUUUAUACUAGAGUCCUUAACUAUUCUGAAAAAAUAGAAAAAGUAAUAUUCUAUGGAUAAGGACUCCAAUGGUGGGUAACACCAUUGGAGUUGCUCCUAUAAGUUUAACUGAUAUAAAUUAACAAAUAACCACCACCAUUAUCUUAAGCUUUUAGAGUGGACUAUGGGACAUCACGUAACAGUCCUGUCACGUAACGUGCCAACUCCAAUCUGGUUCCAGCAUGUGGUUUCCUUAAAAACAAUUUUAUUAAAAGAAAUGAUAUCAUGAAAUCGAAGUUUAGGCUCUUUUAGGUAGAAUCUCACCUAAAAGGUGGUUCCAGAACAGUAAUACCGAAUUAUCAUGUGCAUUUAGAGACAAAAUCUUAUUUUUAUCCUUUUUAAUUCUAACAUGUAAAGCCUUUUCCUGCAUUGGUGGCCUCAAACUCUUUCAUACGUAGUUAUAGAAAAUAGAAAAAUAAAAGUAGCAUUCUGGUAAAGAAACAAAUGGAACAAUAUAUUGACAGUUUAUGAUAUAUGAUUUUAUCUAAAAAAGAAGUAAAAACCAAAACAAAAGUGGGUAAAUUCAAAACAUACAUUUAAAUACGGUUGAUCAGAUAUUACUGAAUUUUGUAUAAUUGUGUAUCCAUUCAUUUAAAUCUCUUUUUUCAUUUUUCUCUUUUAUAAAGAAAUAUUAUAUAUUUCUAGUAUUUUAACAAAUUCUACGUUGCCAAUACUUGGCACUUAGUUAUUUCGAUAUUUUUAAUUCAAUAUCGUUUUUAAAAACAUAGUUUCUGGAGUUACCUUUUUCCUUUUUAGAAGUGUUAUCUACAACAUUUUUUUAUAAAUUUUCUAAAAAUAUUAUAAACCAAAAAAUAUUUUGUAAAUAAAGUUUCUGCCUAACUCACUCAAAACCCACUCUCUUUAAAUGUAAACUAUAACGAUUUUAUUAAAUAGGAGUAUAUGUUGUAUAAUUCCAAAAAUUUUAACAUCUGUAUAAAUGUUAAAAUGAUACUAUCUGUAAAAAUAAAGCGAGCAACUUAUAUGUACAAAUUAUUUCAAUUCUUUUAGCUUUCUUUUGACAAAAGAUAUUAUUCCAAGAGAGGCCAAAUCUAGAAUAUAAGCAGGUGAGAUGGGGUAGAUGGUAGAAGACAGAUAAAAGCUACAUGUGAGAUGUUGGGUGGUAGCCUGGCAGGUAACCGAAUCUAUGAUCAAUGAAUAAUGGAUAAAAGGAAAAAUUAUAAUAAGGUUUUACUAUAUACUUUAUUAAAAAAAGGUUUUACUAUAUAACAAGAACAAUUAUAAAAUAUGGAAUAUUAAUGAUAGUACGAGUUAAGAGGAGAAAGGUAUAAUGUUGCACAUGCAGUUAGCUAGACUGAAUCGCGUCAUUUUUGGCCAGCCAUGCACUGGUCUAUCUCUCUUUAUUUUAAUGUAUUAUCAAUUCAUACGUUCCUACAUGUGUAAAAGUGUUAUCCUUGUUGAUUGAUUAUGUUAAAGGAUCCGGUUAAAAUUGCAGCAGUGGACCACCCUAUAUAAAAUAAUAAUAUUAUUUAGUUUAAAUUUUUAUUUGAGAACUUUUGCCAAUAAGAUUACUUCUAUAUUCUUGUGGUUAAACUGUGACUGUAAACCAACUUGAUUUGAUUUGAAUUUUAUAUCGAUAAUAAGUUUGCAUAACGUUGGGUCGCGAGACUACGCGGGAGUAAGGAAACCAGUCGCAAAGUGAAAAAUUGAAUAAGGCCGGGCCAUCACCUGCAAAACCAUUGCCAGGCUGAGAAUCUUCUCUUCUUCAUUUCAAAUCCGAAUGGUCCAUGCCUCCAUGUUAUGAAUUUUGUUUCCGUUCAUAUAUUUUCCAGAAUAAACCAAAUUCAAUUACGGAUAAACCUUUCAUGGUCUAAUAUUCUACCUGAAAAUGUAUAAUUUAAAGGUUUUCCUCCUCACAAUUAAUUUUGUUUCCAACGUGUUAAAAGUUUUUUUACUUAAAUAUUUAAUUACUUUAUUAUUGAAUCCCAAAAAUGGGCAAUGGAAACACAAUACAACACUGAGCUUGAAGCAAAAGUC